UACGUAGGUGGCAAGCGUUGUCCGGAUUUACUGGGCGUAAAGAGCGCGCAGGCGGUCGGAUAAGUCGGAUGUGAAAGCCCCCGGCUCAACUGGGGAGGGUCAUUCGAUACUGUUCGACUCGAAGGCAGGAGAGGGAAGUGGAAUUCCCGGUGUAGUGGUGAAAUGCGUAGAUAUCGGGAGGAACACCAGUGGCGAAGGCGACUUCCUGGCCUGUUCUUGAUGCUGAGGCGCGAAAGCUAGGGGAGCAAACGGG
RNAcentral lists this ribosomal RNA (253 nucleotides) under uncultured bacterium. RNAcentral describes it as "partial 16S ribosomal RNA". It matches the Rfam family "Bacterial small subunit ribosomal RNA", at positions 524 to 776 of the family's 1533-position model. The record is from RNAcentral.